UACGGAGGGUGCGAGCGUUGUUCGGAAUCACUGGGCGUAAAGCGCGUGUAGGCGGCCCAUUAAGUCUGAUGUGAAAGCCCGGGGCUCACCCCCGGAAGUGCAUUGGAAACUGAUGGACUCGAGUCCCGGAGAGGAGAGUGGAAUUCCUGGUGUAGCGGUGAAAUGCGCAGAUAUCAGGAAGAACACCAAUGGCGAAAGCAGCUCUCUGGGACGGUACUGACGCUGAGACGCGAAAGCGUGGGGAGCGAACAGG
RNAcentral lists this ribosomal RNA (253 nucleotides) under uncultured bacterium. RNAcentral describes it as "partial 16S ribosomal RNA". It matches the Rfam family "Bacterial small subunit ribosomal RNA", at positions 524 to 776 of the family's 1533-position model. The record is from RNAcentral.